RNAcentral lists this ribosomal RNA (800 nucleotides) under uncultured bacterium. RNAcentral's name for it is "bacterial SSU rRNA". It matches the Rfam family "Bacterial small subunit ribosomal RNA", at positions 8 to 806 of the family's 1533-position model. The record is from RNAcentral.
AGAGUUUGAUCAUGGCUCAGGAUGAACGCUGGCGGCGUGCUUAACACAUGCAAGUCGAACGAAGCACUUAACUUGAUCUUCUUCGGAACUGAUUGUUUUGUGACUGAGUGGCGGACGGGUGAGUAACGCGUGGGUAACCUGCCUCACACAGGGGGACAACAGCUGGAAACGGCUGCUAAUACCGCAUAAGCGCACAGCUUCGCAUGGAGCAGUGUGAAAAACUCCGGUGGUGUGAGAUGGACCCGCGUCUGAUUAGCUGGUUGGCAGGGUAACGGCCUACCAAGGCGACGAUCAGUAGCCGACCUGAGAGGGUGACCGGCCACAUUGGGACUGAGACACGGCCCAAACUCCUACGGGAGGCAGCAGUGGGGAAUAUUGCACAAUGGGCGAAAGCCUGAUGCAGCGACGCCGCGUGAGCGAAGAAGUAUUUCGGUAUGUAAAGCUCUAUCAGCAGGGAAGAAAAUGACGGUACCUGACUAAGAAGCUCCGGCUAAAUACGUGCCAGCAGCCGCGGUAAUACGUAUGGAGCAAGCGUUAUCCGGAUUUACUGGGUGUAAAGGGAGCGUAGGCGGCAGGGCAAGUCUGAUGUGAAAACCCGGGGCUCAACCCUGGGACUGCAUUGGAAACUGUUCAGCUGGAGUGUCGGAGAGGCAAGCGGAAUUCCUAGUGUAGCGGUGAAAUGCGUAGAUAUUAGGAGGAACACCAGUGGCGAAGGCGGCUUGCUGGACGAUGACUGACGCUGAGGCUCGAAAGCGUGGGGAGCAAACAGGAUUAGAUACCCUGGUAGUCCACGCCGUAAA